GCACGGACGGUGGUGGAGAGCGUGGAGCGGCUGCUGCAGAGCUGCCCCCGGGGCGGCGAGGCCGAGCUGCGGGCGCUGAUGAAGCUCAACAAGAAGCUGGCCAAGGCUGUGGGGCACAUCUUCCAGCUGGAGGACGGUGACCGGCAGAAGGAGGAGGAGAUCCGUCGGCACAGCGCGAUCUACGGCCGCGGCGAGGCCCGGCGCCGGGAGGGCAAGCAGCUCACCCUGCACGAGGUGGGCUCUGCUUGAAGUUCUGGGAUGUGCUGGGUUGGGACAGGGACCGGGGCAGCUCUGGAGGUGGGGGUGGGUGGGAUUCGAGGUCUGCUCCUACUCGGGUGGCAUCUGCCAGCCUGGAGCUGGUGCUGCCUUAGCCGAGGGUCGUGUGGGCGCUGCUGUCCCGUGGGCGCUGCCGUCCCUGUCCCCGCUCACACAUCAUCUCUGCCCCCAGCUCAUCAUCAACGAGGCGGCCGCCCAGUUCUGCCUUCGGGACAACUCGCUGCUGCUGCGGCGCGUCGAGCUCUUCUCGCUGUCACGACAGGUCGCACGGGAGAGCACCUACCUGUCCUCGCUCAAGGUUGCCAGGGCCCAUCCCGAGGACAGCGGUGCCAUCGUGGCCAAGCGGCUCAAGCAGGAGGCGGGGGAGCAGAGCCGCCCUGAGCUCCUGGCACUGCCGGUGGGGCUGGAGCCCCCCGGGGC
This 696-nucleotide long non-coding RNA is filed under the name Cyanistes caeruleus (blue tit). RNAcentral's name for it is "lncRNA (ENSCCEG00000001635.1)". The record is from RNAcentral. Lineage: Eukaryota; Metazoa; Chordata; Aves; Passeriformes; Paridae.